UGCAAAGUUCCUGGAGCCGAAGUGGAGC
Molecule: non-coding RNA, 28 nt
Filed under: Mus musculus (house mouse)
Lineage: Eukaryota; Metazoa; Chordata; Mammalia; Rodentia; Muridae
Source: RNAcentral